Molecule: non-coding RNA, 30 nt
Filed under: Mus musculus (house mouse)
Lineage: Eukaryota; Metazoa; Chordata; Mammalia; Rodentia; Muridae
Source: RNAcentral
UUCCUCAUUUCGUAUUUUAGGAUUGCCAGU